Molecule: unclassified non-coding RNA, 671 nt
Filed under: Hevea brasiliensis (rubber tree)
Lineage: Eukaryota; Viridiplantae; Streptophyta; Magnoliopsida; Malpighiales; Euphorbiaceae
Source: RNAcentral
GAGGAACAUCUUCGAAAGGAGACAAGGAGACACGAAGAAAGUUGAAAUGGCUGGAAUCGGACCACUUUCACAGGAUUGGGAACCGGUGGUCAUCAGGAAGAAGGCACCCAACGCCGCCGCAAAGAAGGAUGAGAAAGCGGUUAAUGCCGCACGGCGAGCCGGGGCAGAGAUUGAAACCAUAAAGAAAUCUGCUGCUGGGUCAAACAAAUCAGCCUCUAGCAGUACUAGUUUGAAUACUAGGAAGCUUGACGAAGAGACUGAGAACCUUUCUCAUGAUCGUGUCCCAACUGAGCUGAAGAAAGCAAUUAUGCAUGCUCGAACAGAGAAGAAGCUUACACAGUCUCAGCUUGCUCAGAUUAUUAAUGAAAAGCCUCAAGUUAUCCAGGAGUACGAGUCCGGAAAAGCUAUUCCAAAUCAACAAAUAAUAACCAAACUUGAGAGAGCUCUGGGAACAAAACUGCGUGGGAAGAAAUAAAGAGAUAUGGAAAGUUAAGUAUGAGUUCUGCAUAAGCUUUUGUUUGAACCAUGCGCAAAAAUUCAUACCCUACCAUGGUUUCAAUGUGUAAUUAUAUUCGACCACCCUCGUAUGCCUGUAUAACCACUGUUGCAGUGUCUUGGUAAGUUCUUACCUGGAAAUAAAUAAAUACCAUGUCUGUCAUGUUGCGUUAGUU